AUCACAGGCCAUUCUAUCGCUACUGAUGUAAAUCGGGAGAGGAAAGUCCGGGCAACACAGAGCAUCCUGCUUCCUAACGGGAAGGCUUCCGGUAACGGAAUACGGAAAGUGCCACAGAAAAUAAACUACUCCGAUUUAUCGGAGAAAAGGUGAAAACGUGAGGUAAGAGCUCACGGCUUGUUAUGGCGACAUAGCUUGCGGUAAACCCCAGGAGUUGAAAGGCCAAAUAAGUCACGAACCAGGAGUUGCUCGCUCCUUAAGAUGCAAAUCUUUUUCGUGAUGGGUAGGCCGUUAGAUUGUAUCAGUGAUGGUGCAGCCAGAUAAAUGAUAGAAUCCGGAUCUUAGGAUUGGGAACAGGACCCGGCUUACAGGCUUGUGAUAGUA
RNAcentral lists this RNase P RNA (384 nucleotides) under Sphingobacteriaceae bacterium. RNAcentral describes it as "RNase P RNA component class A". It matches the Rfam family "Bacterial RNase P class A". From Rfam's summary of the family: Ribonuclease P (RNase P) is a ubiquitous endoribonuclease, found in archaea, bacteria and eukarya as well as chloroplasts and mitochondria. Its best characterised activity is the generation of mature 5'-ends of tRNAs by cleaving the 5'-leader elements of precursor-tRNAs. The record is from RNAcentral. Lineage: Bacteria; Pseudomonadati; Bacteroidota; Sphingobacteriia; Sphingobacteriales; Sphingobacteriaceae.